UCCGAGUUGACCCCGGCAGUAUCCCAUGAGUUCCCACCAUUACGUGCUGGCAACAUAGAACGAGGGUUGCGCUCGUUGCGGGACUUAACCCAACAUCUCACGACACGAGCUGACGACAACCAUGCACCACCUGUCUCCUCUGUCCCGAAGGCCCAGUAUAUCUCUACACUGUUCAGAGGGAUGUCAAGACCUGGUAAGGUUCUUCGCGUUGCUUCGAAUUAAACCACAUACUCCACUGCUUGUGCGGGUCCCCGUCAAUUCCUUUGAGUUUCAGUCUUGCGACCGUACUCCCCAGGCGGAAUGCUUAAUGUGUUAACUUCGGCACCAAGGGCAUCGAAGCCCCUAACACCUAGCAUUCAUCGUUUACGGCGUGGACUAC
This 379-nucleotide unclassified non-coding RNA is filed under the name uncultured Paenibacillaceae bacterium. RNAcentral's name for it is "contains 16S-23S intergenic spacer region". The record is from RNAcentral. Lineage: Bacteria; Bacillati; Bacillota; Bacilli; Caryophanales; Paenibacillaceae.